GACGAACGCUGGCGGCGUGCCUAAUACAUGCAAGUAGAACGCUGAAGAGAGGAGCUUACUCUUCUUGGAUGAGUUGCGAACGGGUGAGUAACGCGUAGGUAACCUGCCUUGUAGCGGGGGAUAACUAUUGGAAACGAUAGCUAAUACCGCAUAACAAUGGAUGACACAUGUCAUUUAUUUGAAAGGGGCAAUUGCUCCACUACAAGAUGGACCUGCGUUGUAUUAGCUAGUAGGUGAGGUAAUGGCUCACCUAGGCGACGAUACAUAGCCGACCUGAGAGGGUGAUCGGCCACACUGGGACUGAGACACGGCCCAGACUCCUACGGGAGGCAGCAGUAGGGAAUCUUCGGCAAUGGGGGCAACCCUGACCGAGCAACGCCGCGUGAGUGAAGAAGGUUGUCGGAUCGUAAAGCUCUGUUGUAAGUCAAGAACGGGUGUGAGAGUGGAAAGUUCACACUGUGACGGUAGCUUACCAGAAAGAGACGGCUAACUACGUG
This 497-nucleotide ribosomal RNA is filed under the name uncultured bacterium. RNAcentral's name for it is "partial 16S ribosomal RNA". It matches the Rfam family "Bacterial small subunit ribosomal RNA", at positions 28 to 507 of the family's 1533-position model. The record is from RNAcentral.